AUGUUGUUUUUGGCAGAAAUCCUCCUCCUCCCCAUCUUAUUUACACUCUCUGUUCACGUCGGCUUCUCUUUGCAGCCUGUUAUUUGCAGAGCAGAGCUUCUUUGCACUUCCUUUUGCCAGCCUCCAGCUGAUCAUGAGCCACAGAACAGUCACCCAGAAACCUGUCACCACUGGAAUGGCACACCAGAAGAGGGAUACGGAGCUUGGAUUGAAGACCCUGCACGACAGGCUGUGGAAGAGGCUGAGUCAGACCAUUGCUCAAAAGGCCAUUACAGCUUUCAGUUGCUGAUCUACUUGCCAUGUGAAAAGGAAUUCAGUGAAGGAUUUCACUUGGCACUUUCGGCUCUGGUGUACAUGGCCUACAAGCUUCUCUCCGGUGCCCAGGGACAUCGCCAGCAAGCUGACACCUAUGCUAUGACCUGUGCACCCGUGCAGUCAUCCUCCUGCCUUGCGCCGCCCAGGGGAGAGUGAGCUGCUGCUGAAGCGCCUCUCCCUGAACCUCCUUUGAAGUUGCAGUCGGUUCAGACAACUGAAAGCUGUGUUGUUGCUGCUGCCCCAGAAGUGAACCACGUAGGGAGGCACCUGUGGCUGGGAGGGCCCUGCAGGGUCCCUUCUGGGAGCAUCUCUGGGGAAGGGAGCAAAUAGAAGUGCCUCAUGGGCUGCAUCCGUACCGUGCUUGGACCAUGCUGACUGCAUUCCAACAUCACAAAUCUUAACAAAGGAAGUAAAAUAGAAGGCCUGGUCACUUAUUCAGAAACUUAAACUGCUAUUAAUAUUACUUCAGUCCUCAACAGUGAUGAUCAAGCCUUUGUGUUCUAACUGGAAUUUUAUUUAUUUGUAAUCAUUAGUUUUCUGAGAUUUAAUGUAAAAAUCAUUGCCCUAAAAAAGAAGCCUUUUAUGGGUUUCUGACUGCUGAUUUUAACCAGCACUUCAGUAUCUGACAAGGGGAACACUUGAUGCUAAUUAUUUUUUGAUGUGAGCAUAAUCAUGUACAAAAUUUGCUUUCAUGCACCGUCUUCUCUAUGAGUUUAUGUUUUUGAAUUGCGAAACUGAACAGGGAAGAAAAAAACCCUUACAAUCUUCAGAGUUAUUACAAUCUGAUUGUCACGGAACAAAAUAUCUUGUCAUCUCCCACUACCUGGAUCUUCUGUAUAACUGUUGCUUUGCAUCAUUUAGUCUAUUAUGCUUGGUUGAUGAUAUUACUUCAAAAUUGUUAUUUAUCCAGCCUAACAAUAAUUCCAAAAAGCAAAGAUAAAAAUUAUGGGCUGAAAUCUACUCUAGAUUCUUAAAAACACAGCCCUAAAAGUUCUCAGUCUGAACUCAAACAUUUGGUGACAUUGAUGACCUUUAACAAAAUAGAACUAGAUUCUGGCUCAAGCAAGAAGAGUGAAGUUAGACUAAAGGAAGAGGUUUUAUCCUCAGUAAGCUGCUACUUAAAACACUGAGAUCUGGAGGCAAUUUAGUGAGCUGAAUUUGCUGCCUCCUCUUAGCUGGAAUAGUUUUGGCACACACAUCUAAAGAGCUAUUUAGCUAGGAGGGAGCUAACCAAUGGUUUGAGAUUAUACACAUCUGUCAGCUAAAUCAAAGAUCCGAAGGCUAAAUCUAGCAUUUGGAGGCAAAAUGUGGAUCCCUGAAUUUUAUGGAACAUUGUGUCUAGAUAGUGAUACAGUUUUCCUACAUACAAAUUCUUUAAAAUGGUGUAAGAUAUAAUAGUUUUCAUUUUAUUUAUAGGUUUCAGAAAUUUAUUGUUAGAAAGAUGGAAGAAAUGUAUUAUGACAGUGACCUGAAAAUUGUAGUUCAGGGAUCUAAUUGUGUUUUCAAGUUAUUCGUGCCAUGGAAGUAAUGGGUAUCUCCUUAGAGAUAAGAAGACAUAAUAUAUAGAAAAGACACUUCUUUUUUAUAAGAAAAGAAAGUCAUUGAUUUGCAAAAACUGUAGAGAUACUGGUUUAUUGUAAAUAUGUUGCAGGCCAUAAGGCUUAGUUAUACUGCAUUGUUAGUCUUUGUAUAUUUUCUGACUCCAAACCCAUUAACAGGAUGAAUAAGACAGGAGAAGCAAGAGCUAUAUAAAUGUGUGUAUAUAUGUAUCAAUCAGCUAGUAUGCAUAUCAUUUAAAAAUAUGCUUUUAUUAUAAAAAUUAUGAAAUACUACAGAGAAAUUAUAAGCCUACAAGUCAUUUACAGUAACUGCAAUUCUGGCUAAUACAUUCCUGAACUGGUUUUUAUGGCACAGAUGGUAACAUCAUAACUUCAGAUCUCAUUCCCAUCCAUUGCUGGCUGUUCCUGGGUGUGGGAAGAGGUGAUGAUUAGCUAAGACAAAUCUAGCUGUUCACAACAUCUUGUUGAAACUUUGUUGUUAUUGAUGAUAAAAAUGACUUUGGAAUAAAAUGAAGAUUUUACUGGGAAAAUGCCUGUUU
Struthio camelus australis is the source of this 2413-nucleotide long non-coding RNA. NCBI's taxonomy places the organism in Eukaryota, Metazoa, Chordata, Aves, Struthioniformes, Struthionidae. The record is from Ensembl.